Sapajus apella (tufted capuchin) is the source of this 985-nucleotide non-coding RNA. The record is from the annotation of a RefSeq genome assembly. NCBI's taxonomy places the organism in Eukaryota, Metazoa, Chordata, Mammalia, Primates, Cebidae.
GCUGCCCCGAAGAUUUAUCAGUAGGCUGGUGACACCCUGUGCAGAAGUCUCUCUCAGUCAGGACACAGCAUGGACAUGAAGGUGUCCGCUCAGCUCCUGGGGCUCCUGCUGCUCUGGCUCCCAGAUACCAGAUGUGACAUCCAGAUGACCCAGUCUCCAUCCUCUCUGUCUGCAUCUGUGGGAGACAGAGUCACCAUCACUUGUCAUGCGAGUCAGAGCAUUAGCAACUGGUUAGCCUGGUAUCAGCAGAAACCAGGGAAAGUUCCUAAGCUCCUGAUCUAUAAGGCAUCCACUUUGCAAUCUGGGGUCCCAUCUCGGUUCAGCGGCAGUGGAUCCGGGACAGAUUUUACUCUCACCAUCAGCAGCCUGCAGCCUGAAGAUGUUGCAACUUAUUACUGUCAGAAGUAUAACAGUGCUCCGUACACUUUCGGCCAAGGGACCAAGCUGGACAUCAAACGAGAUGUGGCUGUGCCAUCUGUCUUCAUCUUCCAGCCAUCUGAGGAGCAGGUGAAAUCUGGAACUGCCUCUGUUGUGUGCAUGCUGAAUGGCUUCUAUCCCAAAGAAGUCAGUGUAAAGUGGAAGGUGGAUGAUGUCGUCCAGUCGAGUAACGUCCAGGAGAGUAUCACAGAGCAGGACAGCAAGGACAACACCUACAGCCUCAGCAGCACCCUGACGCUGAGCAGCACAGACUACCAGAGGCACAACGUCUACGCCUGUGAGGUCACCCAUCAAGGCUUGAGCUCGCCCCUCACGAAGAGCUUCCGUAAAGGAGAGUGUUAGAGGGAGAGGUGCUCCAGGCCCACCACCUGUUCCUCAGUCCCAGCCUCUCCCCCUCCCAUCCUUUGGCCUCUGGCCCUUUUCCCACAAGGGACCUACCCCUAUUGCUGUCCUCCAGCUCAUCUUUCACCUCAUUCCCCUCCUCCUUCUUGGCUUUAAUUAUGCUAAUAUUGGAGGAGAAUGAAUAAAUAAAGUGAAUCUUUGCACA